Molecule: small nuclear RNA, 103 nt
Filed under: Myotis lucifugus (little brown bat)
Lineage: Eukaryota; Metazoa; Chordata; Mammalia; Chiroptera; Vespertilionidae
Source: RNAcentral
UUGCUCAUUUUGGCAGUACAUGUACUACAUUGGACCAUUCCAGAGAUUAAUAAGACCCUUGUGCAAGAAUGACAUGCAAAUUCUUGAAACAUUUUAUGCUUUU